AGCGAACGCUGGCGGCAGGCCUAACACAUGCAAGUCGAACGCGUGUAGCAAUACACGAGUGGCAGACGGGUGAGUAACACGUGGGAACGUGCCCUUCGGUUCGGAAUAACUCAGGGAAACUUGAGCUAAUACCGGAUACGCCUUACGGGAAAGAUUUAUCGCCGAAGGAUCGGCCCGCGUCUGAUUAGCUAGUUGGUGAGGUAACGGCUCACCAAGGCGACGAUCAGUAGCUGGCUGAGAGGACGACCAGCCACACUGGGACUGAGACACGGCCCAGACUCCUACGGGAGGCAGCAGUGGGGAAUAUUGGACAAUGGGCGCAAGCCUGAUCCAGCGAUGCCGCGUGUGUGAAGAAGGCCUGCGGGUUNUAAAGCACUUUCAGUAGGGAAGAAAAGCCGAGUGCUAAUAUCACUCGGUCUUGACGUUACUUACAGAAGAAGCACCGGCUAACUCCGUGCCAGCCGCCGCGGUAAG
RNAcentral lists this ribosomal RNA (474 nucleotides) under uncultured bacterium. RNAcentral describes it as "bacterial SSU rRNA". It matches the Rfam family "Bacterial small subunit ribosomal RNA", at positions 29 to 524 of the family's 1533-position model. The record is from RNAcentral.